UACAGAGGGUGCGAGCGUUGUUCGGAAUCACUGGGCGUAAAGCGCGCGCAGGCGGCUCUUUAAGUCCGAGGUCCAAUGCCGGGGCUCAACCCCGUGCCCGCCUUGGAUACUGGAGAGCUGGAGACACGUAGAGGCAAGCGGAAUUCCGGGUGUAGCGGUGGAAUGCGUAGAGAUCCGGAAGAACACCGGAGGCGAAGGCGGCUUGCUGGGCGUGAUCUGACGCUGAGGCGCGAAAGCGUGGGGAGCGAACAGG
This 253-nucleotide unclassified non-coding RNA is filed under the name uncultured Gemmatimonadota bacterium. RNAcentral describes it as "uncultured Gemmatimonadetes bacterium contains 16S-23S intergenic spacer region". It matches the Rfam family "Bacterial small subunit ribosomal RNA", at positions 524 to 776 of the family's 1533-position model. Lineage: Bacteria; Pseudomonadati; Gemmatimonadota. The record is from RNAcentral.